RNAcentral lists this transfer RNA (72 nucleotides) under Aegilips sp. ZJUH 20220002. RNAcentral's name for it is "tRNA-Pro". The record is from RNAcentral. Lineage: Eukaryota; Metazoa; Arthropoda; Insecta; Hymenoptera; Figitidae.
CAAGAUAUAGUUUAAUAAAAACAUUAAUUUUGGAAAUUAAAUAUAUAUAAUUAUUUUAAAAUAUUUUCUUGA